RNAcentral lists this ribosomal RNA (460 nucleotides) under uncultured bacterium. Its description in RNAcentral is "partial 16S ribosomal RNA". It matches the Rfam family "Bacterial small subunit ribosomal RNA", at positions 338 to 795 of the family's 1533-position model. The record is from RNAcentral.
CCUACGGGAUGCAGCAGUGAGGAAUAUUGGUCAAUGGGCGCGAGCCUGAACCAGCGAAGUAGCGUGAAGGAUGACGGCCCUACGGGUUGUAAACUUCUUUUAUAAAGGAAUAAAGUGAGGCACGUGUGCCUUUUUGUAUGUACUUUAUGAAUAAGGAUCGGCUAACUCCGGGCCAGCAGCCGCUGUAAUCCGGAGGCUCCGAGCGUUGUCCGGAAUUAUUGGGUUUAAAGGGAGCGUAGAUGGGUUGUUAAGUCAGUUGUGAAAGUUUGCGGCUCAACCGUAAAAGUGCAAUUGAUACUGGCAGCCUUGAGUACAGUAGGGGUAGGCGGAAUUCGUGGUGUAGCGGUGAAAUGCUUAGAUAUCACGAAGAACUCCGAUUGCGAAGGCAGCUUACUAAACUGCCACUGACAUUGAUGCUCGAAAGUGUGGGUAUCAAACAGGAUUAGAUACCCGAGUAGUC